GUGGGUAUAGCUCAGAGGUGGAGCAUGUGCUCAGCAUGUGCGAGGUCCUGGGUUCAAUCCUCAGUACCUCCA
RNAcentral lists this transfer RNA (72 nucleotides) under Camelus bactrianus (Bactrian camel). It matches the Rfam family "tRNA". Rfam says of the family: Transfer RNA (tRNA) molecules are approximately 80 nucleotides in length. Their secondary structure includes four short double-helical elements and three loops (D, anti-codon, and T loops). Lineage: Eukaryota; Metazoa; Chordata; Mammalia; Artiodactyla; Camelidae. The record is from Rfam by way of RNAcentral. RNAcentral also lists the same sequence under 2 other names.